This is a non-coding RNA of Podarcis lilfordi (Lilford's wall lizard), 81 nucleotides long. The record is from the annotation of a GenBank genome assembly. NCBI's taxonomy places the organism in Eukaryota, Metazoa, Chordata, Lepidosauria, Squamata, Lacertidae.
UUGGGGAAAGUCCAUGGCUCAGUGGCAAAGCAUUUGUUUUGAAUGCAGAAGGUCCCAAGUUCAAUCCUAUGCAUCUCUAAG